This 460-nucleotide ribosomal RNA is filed under the name uncultured bacterium. RNAcentral's name for it is "partial 16S ribosomal RNA". It matches the Rfam family "Bacterial small subunit ribosomal RNA", at positions 338 to 795 of the family's 1533-position model. The record is from RNAcentral.
CCUACGGGAGGCUGCAGUGAGGAAUAUUGGUCAAUGGCCGGAAGGCUGAACCAGCCAUGCCGCGUGAAGGUCAGUGCCCUAUGGGCGUUAAACUUCUUUUGUGCGGGAGCAAUAAUGGUCACGUGUGGCCAGACGAGAGUACCGUACGAAUAAGCAUCGGCUAACUGCGUGCCAGCAGCCGCGGUAAUACGGGGGAUGCAAGCGUUAUCCGGAUUUAUUGGGUUUAAAGGGUGCGUAGGCUGUGAGGUAAGUCAGCGGGGGAAUGCCCCCGCUCAAAGGGGUGAAGUGCCAUUGAUACUGGCUGGCUGGAGUGCGGAUGCGGUGGGAGGAAUGUGUGGUGUAGCGGUGAAAUGCGUAGAUAUUAGGAGGAACACCAGUGGCGAAGGCGGCCUACUGGACGGUGACUGACGCUGAGGCUCGAAAGCGUGGGGAGCAAACAGGAUUAGAUACCCGAGUAGUC